UGGGGAAUCUUGCGCAAUGGGCGAAAGCCUGACGCAGCAACGCCGCGUGGGGGAUGAAGGCUCUCGGGUUGUAAACCCCUUUCAGCAGGGACGAAUCUGACGGUACCUGCAGAAGAAGCCCCGGCCAACUACGUGCCAGCAGCCGCGGUAACACGUAGGGGGCAAGCGUUGUCCGGAUUUAUUGGGCGUAAAGAGCUCGUAGGUGGUUCGGUAAGUCGGGUGUGAAACCUCCAGGCUCAACCUGGAGACGCCACCCGAUACUGCUGUGACUGGAGUCCGGUAGGGGAGCGUGGAAUUCCUGGUGUAGCGGUGAAAUGCGCAGAUAUCAGGAGGAACACCAGCGGCGAAGGCGGCGCUCUGGGCCGGUACUGACACUGAGGAGCGAAAGCGUGGGUAGCAAACAGGAUUAGAUACCCUGGUAGUCCACGCCGUAAACGUUGGGCACUAGGUGUGGGUCUCAACCAACGGGAUCCGUGCCGUAGCUAACGCAUUAAGUGCCCCGCCUGGAGNGUACGGCCGCAAGGCUA
Molecule: ribosomal RNA, 527 nt
Filed under: uncultured bacterium
Lineage: Bacteria
Description: bacterial SSU rRNA
Rfam family: Bacterial small subunit ribosomal RNA
Source: RNAcentral